AGAGCGAACGCUGGCGGCAGGCCUAAUACAUGCAAGUCGAACGGAUCCUUCGGGAUUAGUGGCGGACGGGUGAGUAACACGUGGGAACGUGCCCUUUGGUUCGGAACAACUCAGGGAAACUUGAGCUAAUACCGAAUGUGCCCUUCGGGGGAAAGAUUUAUCGCCAUUGGAGCGGCCCGCGUCUGAUUAGCUAGUUGGUGAGGUAAAGGCUCACCAAGGCAACGAUGGGUAGCUGGUCUGAGAGGACGAUCGGCCACACUGGGACUGAGACACGGCCCAGACUCCUACGGGAGGCAGCAGUGGGGAAUCUUACGCAAUGCGCGAAAGCGUGACGCAGCAACGCCGCGUGGGGGAAGACGGCCUUCGGGUUGUAAACCCCGUUUCAGUUGGGACGAAGCUUCGCCGGUGAAGUAGCCGGCUGGAGUGACGGUACCUUCAGAAGAAGCCCCGGCUAACGUACGUGCCAGCAGCCGC
Molecule: ribosomal RNA, 474 nt
Filed under: uncultured bacterium
Lineage: Bacteria
Description: SSU rRNA
Rfam family: Bacterial small subunit ribosomal RNA
Source: RNAcentral